RNAcentral lists this long non-coding RNA (2307 nucleotides) under Mus musculus (house mouse). RNAcentral describes it as "predicted gene, 74490". Lineage: Eukaryota; Metazoa; Chordata; Mammalia; Rodentia; Muridae. The record is from RNAcentral.
ACCGCAGAGAACUCGAGCCGGAGGGCGAUCGAAAUCCUCCAAGCACUGCCGGAUCCGCAGGCAAGACUUAUGGACCAGCAGGCUCCUCAGUGCGGAGGUCAAACCCUCCCGGAGGCAACAAAGGCUCACCUUCCUUUCUUCUUCUUCUUUUAACCUUUAAAAAAAUUACAUUUAUUUAUUUACUUAAUAAUUUGGGAAGUAAGUAAUGGGGGAAGCUCCCUUGUGGAGAAGUCGGUACUUUUCUUCCACCCUGUGGAGUACUAGAUUCCAACUGUGAAGAUCUGGUUUGGUGACAUGAACAUUUAUCCACUGGACCAUCUCUCCCGGCCGGUUCUCUUAAACUCCACGAUGAAAACAGAUGUGCCUGGAGUUCCUGCCUCAUGCUCUCUCUCCCUCUGAGUGUGCUUUAGAUGGCUGGCUACCUGAUCAACUCUGCUCUUCAGACCCACAUUUCCAAAACCAUGCCACCUACUGGACUCUUUCCACAGGCUCUCCUCUCCUGUCUUUGUCUCCUCGCUUCCCAUAGCUCCCUCCACCAGACCCACACCGAACGGAGCCCUGAACUUAUGUGCUCGAAUCUGCUACUAGGAGUGGGGUCUUCACCUUUUGGUAAAGACUUUGAACUCCUAAACUCCCGUCUGUACAUCCUGAGUGCUGGAGUCUUUUUUUCAGCUCAGAUGACCGGUGCCACCUGGUCCUCAUUCUCUGUGUGUGUGGUGUAUGCAUGUGUACCUCUCGAGAUUGGGUCUUUUCUUUUCUUUUUCUUUUUUUUUUUUUUUUCCGUUUUUGAUUUUUCAAGACAGGGUUUCUCUGUAUAGCCCUGGCUAUCCUGGAACUUACUUUGUAGACCAGGCUGGCCUCAAACUCAGAAAUCCGCCUGUCUCUGCCUCCCAAGUGUUGGGAUCAAAGGUGUGCGCCAACACUGCCCAGAUACUAUUGGGUAUUUUAUUCUAUCAUUUCUACACCUUAUUUUUUGAAACAAGGUCUCACACAGAAGUCAUCAAUUUGGCUAGACUAGCUGGCCAGCCAACUCCAUGAGUCUGCCUACACACACACACACACACACACACACACACACACACACACACACACACACACCACAUGUCCCCUGCACUGGGUAACAAUGUAAGCUGUGGCACCUAGCUUUUCCCUUAGCUACUGCAGACCCAAGCUCAGCUCCUCAUGUUUGAGUGGCAAGCACUUUGCCCACUGCCCCACUGCCCAUUCGUCUCAUGGUCAGCAAGCUCUGUGACUCCAACUCUGUAAAAGUCUGUCCAUUUGAGGACUCUGGAGAACUUGCCCAAGUCUCAGAAAGCACAGAGCCACAGAAGAGGAGAGACAUCUAGAUUCUCAUUUUUAUGUAAGUCUCCUUACAUAGCCUAGGCUGGCCUGAAUCUAGAGUUUCAGACAGCUGCCACAUGGAAGCUGGGAACCAAACCUAGAUCCUCUAUUGGGAUAGCAAGUGUUCCUAACCAUUCAGUUGUCUCUCCAGUCUACCAUAUACAAAUGAAAGAGACAGAGACAGAGACAGAGACAGAGACAGAGUCAGAGACAGAGACAGAGACAGAGACAGGCAGAGGGAGGGGGUUGGUGAGAGGGAGAGAGAAACUAGUUGCAAAAGCAACGGUUUGAGAAAAGUCACUCAGUAUCCCAGAUGGAAUCAUUUGCCCAUUCUGUGGACUGUGUUUAUGUUUUGUGUGUGUCCGAUCUGAUGACAGUCCUGGUUGUGUCCUGAUCCUCACUGGUACAGAAUGUUCCGUGUGUGCCUUGUGCAGUGGUUUGUGAGGCCUCCUGUGAAUGUCAGUUCAGCUCCUGGCAGCACCAACAUCUAACUGGCAUUGGUAGGCCAGCUUCUAGGUCUUGGGGUCGGCUUCUCCUUUUCACAGAAGAAAAGUGGAACGGGGUGGGGUGGGAGGUGUCUCAGGAGUCAGGCUCCUUGGCUGUCUCCUCUAUCCCUAGAAGACCUCGGAAAAUAGAGACCUCAGGCUCUCUAGGCCCAGGACCUGGCAGCCCAGACUCCCGGAUGGAGUUUUGUCUGUCAGUGCCUAUGAAUGGGUACUCACAGGCUUUGGGAAGAAGGACAACAGAGAGCACAGUGGCAGGUGGAGUCAGAACACUUUCCUCCCCCUGAGACAAGGUUUCUCUGUGUAGCCUUGGCUGUCCUGAAACUUACUUUGUAGACCAGGCUGGCCCCAAACUCACAAAGAUCUACCUGCCUCUACCUCGGAGUGUUGAGAUUAAAGGUAUGUACCACCCCUGCCCAGCAACAGAAUAUUCUUUUAUAUUAUUAAACUUUUUAUUUGUCUU